GUAAUUGAAAUCAGUGCAGAAUCGAGUCAAGCCAAAUUCAAACUUUAAUUCUAGUAUGAAAUAAAUUAGUAUGUGGUAGAGCAUCCUUACCCGUCUGGAAUAAUAAAAUGUUUAAUUUAUAUUAUUACAUGUGUUCAGUGUUUUUAAUUUUACUAUAAAUAAUAUCAGCUUAAUAUGUGCAAUAAAUACACAAACAGGUUUCCAUAGUUGGUAUUGAACAACUUUUAAUAUUUGAGUAUUUCCCUUAUGGCCAGCUAUAGUUUAGGUUGGUUACGGAUUGUUUUUCAUGGUUCAUCGGUUCUUUUCUUAAUUAUUGGUCACAUGACAGUUCUUCGUCAGUGUAAGACUCAGUUUGAAUUUAGAAAUUUAAUUGGGCAGUUGUGUCAUACUUUAGUUGAAAACUUUGGACAUUUGGACUUACAGACUACAAUCUACUAAUCAGGUCAGUUACUAAUUAUGUUAAGGAUUUUAUGCAUAGAGUGAGUGAGAGUAAGAGUAGUAUGAUUAUUUUAUUUCUAUUUAUUUCAUAAUGAGUGUAUUGCUUCAGAAAUCUGAGUAAUAUAUAUGUUUGUAUUAAUUGAUAGAUAUACACCAGAUCUACACAUUACUAUAGAUCCAUCCGGAUUCUAAUACCACAUAUUUGAAUCUUUUGGAUGAUAUUUAUUGGAUAACAUUUGGAUGAUCUGUGAAUGAUGUUAUUCUGAGCGAUUGUGAUAAAUAAACCUUGUGACCGGUA
This is a long non-coding RNA of Ostrea edulis (European flat oyster), 736 nucleotides long. RefSeq lists it as uncharacterized. The transcript has 2 exons. The record is from RefSeq and is a predicted model, not a curated record. NCBI's taxonomy places the organism in Eukaryota, Metazoa, Mollusca, Bivalvia, Ostreida, Ostreidae.